RNAcentral lists this long non-coding RNA (1260 nucleotides) under Macaca mulatta (Rhesus monkey). RNAcentral describes it as "lncRNA (ENSMMUG00000053921.1)". The record is from RNAcentral. Lineage: Eukaryota; Metazoa; Chordata; Mammalia; Primates; Cercopithecidae.
UUGUAAGGCCUGUGAUUUUUCAUCCACCACAGAACUUCAAUAUGACUGAGCUCCUGGAAUUUUAGGAACAUCCCCUUAGAAGAAAGACCAUGAGCAAUGGCCUUCAUGAACUAUCUCUGAGCUAACCCAGGGCCUGUCUCAGAGAAGGACCUCGGUAAUUAGGUGUUGAAUGAACGAGGGAUACUGGUUCUGGAUUCUUCCGCAGAGACUUUCAGGUGCAGCACUCCGGGUUGAGGUAGCUUGUUUCUCUCACUAGGUCUUCUCUUGGUUAUCAUUCUGCAUCCCCUGUGAUGGUUCAGUUGAGGAAGUGCCCAUCAAUUAAGGAAAAGCAUCCUUGCUGAGAGUGUAGCAUUUAACUUUAAUGCGGAGAAAGAGGGAAGAAUAGUAAUUGUGGCAAGAAUAAAACUAGGCUUUUUUCUAACAAAACCCCUGCCAGUAUCAUCCAUGAUUGCCCAGGACUGUGGCAUGAGGAAACGACCAUAUUAUCAUUGAGAAACUUAGGAGCUCCCAUUCCUUUCCUAAGUCAGCUGACAGGAUCUGCAGUUUGAUUCUCUCUCUGUUUCUCCACUAUGUCAAGAACCCAGCAUCCUAAGCACUCAGAGAACACUGGCCUGGGACUAAAGGGAAAAGGAGGACUAUUUAUCAAGAAACUCAAAAGACAAAGACAGCUCCUAGGAGGUUCUCAUUUAACCAAAUGGAUAGAAAUCAGAUCACUGCUGAACAUCUAGUUGGAACUGACUUUACCGCUCUAUUCAAACGGUGAAGCCUUCCUUCUUCCAACAGACCGUGCGGCAGAAAGAAUUAUGGGCAAGGAUCUGUGACUGCUUAACUUUUGCCUGGAGGCCCAGCUCAGGGGUUCAGCUGUCCUGUUCCUCAGUGUCACAUCUUCCACAAAGCCAUUCACCCUUUAAGGAUUCUUUGAGCACUCAUCCUGUGCCAGGUGCUAAGCUGAGCACCUGGGAUUUGGAGGACAGGAAGACACAGUCCCACAAGCAGAAGAGAAGCCUUUCCCAAGCCUUCUCUCAGAGUGAGCACUGCCCCAGAAUCCCUUAGCCUAUGAUCGGCAUCUUUUGGGCACCUUUCCUUUCCACCUUGUUUCACCUUUGUCUUCUACUUCCAGUCCUCUUACACCAGGCCAUCUGUGCCUUGAGGGCUGCCUCAGAAUCUCCCACAGCAUGAGGCAGAAUGAGUGGUAACCAGCAGAAGCUCAAUAAAUAUUUAUGGAAUGACUGGCUAAAUGUAAUUACUACCAGAGAAGCA